AUAAUUUUUUAUUAAAUUCGUGCACAGUAUUUUGGAUCCAACCCUACUAAGAUUUGAUAUAGUGAUGAGUUGCCGAAUGUCGAGGAUGCAGUGAGGAUUCUUCAAGGGGCAGAAGUCGUCGCCGCCACGUUUCCAUGGAGAAGUUGUUGUCAUCAUCGUGCGAAACAUGUUUGGCUUGCGCACGCUAGCCACCGUUCUUUCUGUUCCUCUACCAAAACCCUAAUCGAGGUCACAGUCGGAGCAUACACAAACAGAAGCCAUCCAUGGACGGUGAUUCCUCUAGGAGUUCCAGGCGCUACCAAUCUACUCUUCGAUCUCGACCAGGUCCAUACACGGAAAUGGAAGAAAACGGAGCUGUUUGGUUUGCCAUUUUGGUUGCCCAAAGAAACGUCACGGAUGAUUCUUCUUCUUACACUAGUAUAUGACUAUAUCUCCCCCAUGUGCAUUGUAAUGUUUUAACACUGCCAAGUCCACGUUAAGAACUGAACCCUUUUUCCACAAACACUGUUCGAGACAGAAUGGAUGCUCUAACUGUUCUAAAUGUGAAAAUGAGACACAAAGGCAACUCAAAAUGUCGGAUGAGAGUGACAUAUAUGAUAUGAGAGAUUCUUACAUGAUUUUAUAAAUGAGAUUUUAUAAAUAAGUCACUGACUCA
Molecule: long non-coding RNA, 655 nt
Organism: Glycine soja
Lineage: Eukaryota; Viridiplantae; Streptophyta; Magnoliopsida; Fabales; Fabaceae
Exons: 2
Source: RefSeq, a predicted model, not a curated record